AUGGGGAGCGGCGGGUUGUUGUUGCCGACCGUGGUGAUGCUGUUGCUCAACGUGUUGUCGGCGGUGAUGGUGGCGCUGGUCAAGGUGGCCAUGGCCGGCGGCCUCGACCCGCUCGUGCUCGUCACGCUGCAGCAGCUCGCCGCCGCCAUCUUCCUCGGCCCCAUCGCGCACUUCACAGAGGGCAAGUCGAGGCCCAAGAUGACGCUCGAGAUCUUCGCCUACCUCUUCGUCAGCGCCGCGCUCGGGGCGGCGAUGAGGCAGUACAUGGUCUUCGUGGGGCUGCGCUACACCACGGCGACCUUCGUCAGCGCCUUCUCCAACAUCGCGCCCGUGCUCACCUUCGUGCUCGCCGUCGCCACCCGCUCCGAGUCGCUCCACCUCAGGGCCGCCACCGGUGCCGCCAAGCUCGCCGGCACGCUCGUCUCGCUCGCCGGCGCCAUGCUGCUCACCUUCUACAGAGGCGUGGCCCUCACCCACCCCAACAGCGCCCACCAGCUCCACCGCUCCCCUUCAUCCCCGCCGUCGCCAGGAGCGGACUCCGGCAGGCAGUGGACGCUGGGCACGGUGGCGAUCCUCGGCAACUGCGUCUGCCUCGCCUGCUGGUACCUGCUCCAGGGCAGGAUCGCCAGGAAGUACCCCUACGUCUACUCCUGCAACGCCUUCCUGUCCACCUUCAGCUUCCUCCAGGUCGCUGUCGUCGGCCUCUGCGUGAAGCGCAACCUCGCCGCCUGGAUCAUCACCAACAGGUUCCAGAUCCUCACGAUCCUCUACUCCGGCGUGGUGGCGACGGGCGUGUCCUUCGUGCUGCUGACGUGGUGCAUCCAGAAGCGGGGGGCUGUGUUCGUCGCCGCCUUCGUCCCGGUGUCGCAGGUCAUCGUCUGCAUCAUGGACGUCACCGUCCUGCAUGAACCGCUCUACCUUGGAAGUGUGGUGGGAUCUGUGAUUGUGAUAGGUGGCCUGUAUCUUCUGCUGUGGGGCAAGAGGCAGGAGGCCUUGCAGCAGCAGCCAGAAGUUGCUAAAGAUGACCAAGAACAGCAGCAGCAGCAGCGGCAGCAAGUGCAGUCGCAGCCAUGA
Molecule: ribosomal RNA, 1074 nt
Filed under: Triticum aestivum (bread wheat)
Lineage: Eukaryota; Viridiplantae; Streptophyta; Magnoliopsida; Poales; Poaceae
Description: partial small subunit ribosomal RNA
Source: RNAcentral